UAUUACAGGAUUACCAGGAUCUUGAAUGUAUUCUAUAGCCAGGCUUACAUGGUUGUCAUCGAGUUCCUGCUUCAUUUUCCCCCCAGCCCCGAACACAGUCUUCCAGCCCUAAUGGACGGAGUGAUUCUGUUGAGCGGUGCCAAACAGGCUACUCUUCAGACUCCUUUGAGCCUUGUUGGGGAAUUUCAACCAAAUAAAGUUGUUUUCCUUUUA
Molecule: long non-coding RNA, 213 nt
Organism: Oncorhynchus nerka (sockeye salmon)
Lineage: Eukaryota; Metazoa; Chordata; Actinopteri; Salmoniformes; Salmonidae
Exons: 2
Source: RefSeq, a predicted model, not a curated record